Molecule: long non-coding RNA, 632 nt
Organism: Rhagoletis zephyria (snowberry fruit fly)
Lineage: Eukaryota; Metazoa; Arthropoda; Insecta; Diptera; Tephritidae
Source: RefSeq, a predicted model, not a curated record
UAUUUCAUAGCUAUUUUAUAUGAUAUUGCCUAAAAGACCCUAAAUGUACAAAUCAGACGAUGUUUUCGUAAAAUAUUAACAAGCAUAAUAUGUACGACAACCGCAUCUCGACAAUACUGCCAUCACAAACACUCAUCCCUUUCUUGUACUUAUCGCAACAGUCCUACCAACCGCUAUAGUUCUUGCGGCAACGUUGUUAGACUUUUUCAAAUUCGCAAUAGCUGUGGUUACUCUCUUUUCAAAGAAAAUCUACGUUUGAAUAUUAUACAUUAACGUUCGAAAUGGCGUCGCGUUUGAAAAACGAAGGUAAACGGAGCGGAUUAUGGCAGCACUUUACAGCGGUGGAUGCAGUAAGGGCAAAAUGCGAUUUUUGUAAAACUACUCUGUCUUACAAAGGUAUGCCUAUAUAUUUGCUCAUUAUUUAAUAACUAAAAUUAUUUACAAUAAAUAUAUUACAAUAAUUAGGUGGAGGUACAUCCAAUUUACGAUAGCAUCUCCUUGUUAAGCAUCCAACAAUUGAGUUAUCGCAAACAACAUCGGUAAGAAACGAUGAACAUGCCACAAUGGCCCCUGAACAUAGUACGUCAUCAGCUACAAAACAAACGAGGCUCAGCAACUACACGCAACCAAAA